RNAcentral lists this ribosomal RNA (253 nucleotides) under uncultured bacterium. RNAcentral describes it as "partial 16S ribosomal RNA". It matches the Rfam family "Bacterial small subunit ribosomal RNA", at positions 524 to 776 of the family's 1533-position model. The record is from RNAcentral.
UACGGGGGGGGCAAGCGUUGUUCGGAAUUACUGGGCGUAAAGGGCUCGUAGGUGGCCAACUAAGUCAGACGUGAAAUCCCUCAGCUUAACUGGGGAACUGCGUCUGAUACUGGAUGGCUUGAGUUCGGGAGAGGAGCGUGGAAUUCUCAGUGUAGAGGUGAAAUUCGUAGAUAUUGGGAAGAACACCGGUGGCGAAGGCGGCGCUCUGGACCGAGACUGACGCUGAGGCGCGAAAGCGUGGGGAGCAAACAGG